This 297-nucleotide long non-coding RNA is filed under the name Brassica napus (rape). RNAcentral describes it as "long non-coding RNA (BNAP_LNC015359)". Lineage: Eukaryota; Viridiplantae; Streptophyta; Magnoliopsida; Brassicales; Brassicaceae. The record is from RNAcentral.
AUAUAUAUAUAUAUGUAUUUAUAUAUCUGUCGAUACGGAUAUCCGUUUUUAAAAAUUUUAGUAUUUACAAUUUAUUUCUUUUCAACGGAUAUUGAUUUUGAAUAUUUGAUUUGCUCUAAAAUUUUACGGAUAUCGAAAUUUUUCGAAUCGAGUCGAAACAAAUAACGUAUCUAUUCAAAUUUAAAGGAUAAAAUUCCAAUCUCUAUAAAUACAUGUAGUGCUAGAGCAGAGGGCAGAUGUCUAAUUCAGUUGAUACGUGUUGCACUCCUAAACAUCAUUGCAUCACUACAAAAACCA